AUUGAACGCUGGCGGCAUGCCUAACACAUGCAAGUCGAGCGGAUGAAUCGAGCUUGCUCCUGGAUUCAGCGGCGGACGGGUGAGUCAUGCCUAGGAAUCUGCCUUGUCGUGGGGGAUAACGUCCGGAAACGGGCGCUUAUACCCCAUACGUCCUGUGGGCGACAGUGGGGGGUCUUCGGACCUCACGCUAUCAGAUUAGCCUAGGUCGGUUUAGAUAGUUGGUGGGGUAACUGCCUAACAAGGCGACUAUCCUUAACUGGUAUGAGAGGAUGAUCAGUAACACGGGAACUGAGAAACGGCAGCGACACUGAGGGGAGGCAGCAGUGGGGAAUAUUGGAGAAUGGGCGAAAGGCUGAUCCAGCAAUGCGGCGUAUGUGAAGAAGGACUACGGAUGGGAAAGCACUUUAAGUUGGGAGGAAGGGAAGUAAGUUAAUACCUGGCGGUAUUGACGUUACCAACAGAAUAAGCACCGGCUAACUUCGUG
This 484-nucleotide ribosomal RNA is filed under the name uncultured bacterium. Its description in RNAcentral is "partial 16S ribosomal RNA". It matches the Rfam family "Bacterial small subunit ribosomal RNA", at positions 30 to 507 of the family's 1533-position model. The record is from RNAcentral.